Nicotiana tabacum (common tobacco) is the source of this 667-nucleotide long non-coding RNA. RefSeq lists it as uncharacterized. Lineage: Eukaryota; Viridiplantae; Streptophyta; Magnoliopsida; Solanales; Solanaceae. The record is from RefSeq and is a predicted model, not a curated record.
GAAGAAUCGGACCACACCCUUACAAAAAUACAGAGAAGCGGUGCAAAGAGAGGAGCGAAAAUCUUCUCCAAAAAAUCAAGCUUUCAUUCCCUCUUCUUCCUCCAUUGAGUCUCACUCUCACUCUCAAACGGAAGAUACACACAGAGAAACACCAAAGAUUUGAAAAACAAAUUUUUCAAAAUCUCAAAGAAAAUCAAACAGAUCUAAAUCCGAUAAAAAGAGUUCCAAACAAAAAUCAAAAACAAAAAGAAGAAGAAAGCUGGAAUUAGAGGGACUGGCAUCGAUUUCUCUUGGCUUGGCGUUGAUUUUCUGGGUUUGGUUGAGUUAUUUUGCUGAUGUUCUUCUCUGCUGGGCUUGAGAUUCAAAUCCUCUGUUAUUGGACCUUUACUCGAUUCAGAAAAUUUUGAACCCGGUAGCGGGUGUUGAUUGCUCAGUGGCAGAGUCAUCGGAGUUAGCAAGGUAGCUUCCCGAUGUUCGCAACAUUGUUUUUCUCCCUCCUGUCUUCCUUAUAUUGUAUUUAGGAUAUUUUUAGACUCUUCAUUGUAUUUUGACCUUUGUAGAUGCUCGUGACUUGUGACACCCCGAUGUCAGGCUUGUGUAUUUAUUUCGCACUGUCCAUUUAGAUUUACAUUACGAGAUAUUUGAUUAAUUAAAGGCUUAAAAAUGA